This 402-nucleotide ribosomal RNA is filed under the name uncultured Pseudomonas sp. Its description in RNAcentral is "bacterial SSU rRNA". It matches the Rfam family "Bacterial small subunit ribosomal RNA", at positions 983 to 1382 of the family's 1533-position model. Lineage: Bacteria; Pseudomonadati; Pseudomonadota; Gammaproteobacteria; Pseudomonadales; Pseudomonadaceae. The record is from RNAcentral.
GACAUGCAGAGAACUUUCCAGAGAUGGAUUGGUGGCCUUCGGGAACGUCUGACACAGGUGCUGCAUGGCUGUCGUCAGCUCGUGUCGUGAGAUGUUGGGUUAAGUCCGUAACGAGCGCAACCCUUGUCCUUAGUUACCAGCACGUUAUGGUGGGCACUCUAAGGAGACUGCCGGUGACAAACCGGAGGAAGGUGGGGGAUGACGUCAAGUCAUCAUGGCCCUUACGGCCUGGGCUACACACGUGCUACAAUGGUCGGUACAAAGGGUUGCCAAGCCGCGAGGUGGAGCUAAUCCCAUAAAACCGAUCGUAGUCCGGAUCGCAGUCUGCAACUCGACUGCGUGAAGUCGGAAUCGCUAGUAAUCGUGAAUCAGAAUGUCACGGUGAAUACGUUCCCGGGCCUU